This 72-nucleotide transfer RNA is filed under the name Camelus bactrianus (Bactrian camel). It matches the Rfam family "tRNA". From Rfam's summary of the family: Transfer RNA (tRNA) molecules are approximately 80 nucleotides in length. Their secondary structure includes four short double-helical elements and three loops (D, anti-codon, and T loops). Further hydrogen bonds mediate the characteristic L-shaped molecular structure. tRNAs have two regions of fundamental functional importance: the anti-codon, which is responsible for specific mRNA codon recognition, and the 3' end, to which the tRNAs corresponding amino acid is attached (by aminoacyl-tRNA synthetases). tRNAs cope with the degeneracy of the genetic code in two manners: having more than one tRNA (with a specific anti-codon) for a particular amino acid; and 'wobble' base-pairing, i.e. permitting non-standard base-pairing at the 3rd anti-codon position. The record is from Rfam by way of RNAcentral. Lineage: Eukaryota; Metazoa; Chordata; Mammalia; Artiodactyla; Camelidae. RNAcentral also lists the same sequence under 1 other name.
CGGGGCAUAGCUCAGUGGUAGAGCACAUGCCUAGCAAGCACAACGUCCUGGGUUCAAACCUCAGUACUUCCA